AGAUGUUAAUGGGAAGAGACCGUGUUGUUACUCGGCACCGAAGGGGCAAGGCUAUAAGCUGAAACUCUCAGGUAAAGGAGACCCAUUAAACAGA
This is a non-coding RNA of Anaerolineae bacterium 49_20, 94 nucleotides long. Lineage: Bacteria; Bacillati; Chloroflexota; Anaerolineae. The record is from Rfam.